Molecule: small nucleolar RNA, 70 nt
Filed under: Phascolarctos cinereus (koala)
Lineage: Eukaryota; Metazoa; Chordata; Mammalia; Diprotodontia; Phascolarctidae
Description: Small nucleolar RNA U2-30 (ENSPCIG00000036635.1)
Source: RNAcentral
GUGCAGUGAUGAAAAUACUUUUUCUACUGACCUUUUAAUUGUGAAGGUUUCUGCACUUAAAUGGAGCUCA